This 202-nucleotide long non-coding RNA is filed under the name Capsella grandiflora. Its description in RNAcentral is "long non-coding RNA (CGRA_LNC000246)". The record is from RNAcentral. Lineage: Eukaryota; Viridiplantae; Streptophyta; Magnoliopsida; Brassicales; Brassicaceae.
UGAUAAGUCUGUAUUUCAUCACUUUUUGAGCAUGUAUUCAUCAUCUUUUCAGCAUCUUCCACUUGUUGAUUCGCAUCAUAUUGAUCACUUUCUGCAUGUUUUGCAUACUUAGGUAGGUUUUAUGCAUAUCAUGCAUGUCUUGCAUACAUUCUGCAUAUUUGGAGUGUUUCAGGUACUUAGGAGACAUGCAGAGCGAAGCAGA